RNAcentral lists this microRNA (23 nucleotides) under Pongo pygmaeus (Bornean orangutan). RNAcentral describes it as "ppy-miR-3940". The record is from miRBase by way of RNAcentral. Lineage: Eukaryota; Metazoa; Chordata; Mammalia; Primates; Hominidae.
CAGCCCGGAUCCCAGCCCACUCA